Molecule: long non-coding RNA, 712 nt
Organism: Coffea arabica (coffee)
Lineage: Eukaryota; Viridiplantae; Streptophyta; Magnoliopsida; Gentianales; Rubiaceae
Source: RefSeq, a predicted model, not a curated record
AGGUAAGAAUUGUAGUUGCCUCCCCCAAAGCUGGGCUUUUGCGCUGUGCCGCUGCUCAAGUCUUUUUUGUUGUGCUCCCCUCCGUUCUCUCUUUCUACUCUUGGCAGCUUAUUUUAUUUGAUUUAGAAAGGAUUCAAUUCCUUCACUCAGACAACUCCAGAACUCUUUUUUGCUGCCUGCCACUCCUUGGUGACUGACUUCAUCAGUAAAUCAACUUCACUUUCUUGAAAUUUCUAUGGGUUAUUCUCAGAUUUUUUUUUUCAAGAAAUUUUGGAUAAGAGAUGAAGACUAUAUGAUGAAGAAGAAGAGAUAGGAAAUCUGAUGAAGAAGAAGAAUAGAAGGUGCGGCGUGUGAUGGAGAGAAAGAGAGGGUAGGUCCGUCAUAAAUGUUGUUUAAGGGAAUAAGUUGAGGGCUUUGUCCAAAACCUUUCAAUUUGCUCCGGAAUGGGAUAAGUCCGAUUUUUUAGAAAUGAUUCCAAAAAUUACAUUUCAAUAGGCUUAACCCAAGCAACAAAUAAGGGGUUUAUUCCAUUCUGUGAUUCUCAAACCCUUUAACCAAGCAGUCCCUAAGUUCUGUAUCAAUUGUAUUUAGGGUUUGUCCUAGAGGCGUCCACUGAAUAUUAGUAUUUAAUAAGGAUCCACUGUAUUAGUACAUUGGAAAAGUGAAAUUAGAUUGAGGAAAUAUCUAAAUGAAGGGGUUUUAUAAGUGCUCA